AGAGUUUGAUCCUGGCUCAGAUUGAACGCUGGCGGCAGGCUUUACACAUGCAAGUCGAGCGGGGAAAAAUAGCUUGCUACUUUACCUAGCGGCGGACGGGUGAGUAAUGCUUAGGAAUCUGCCUAUUAGUGGGGGACAACAUCUCGAAAGGGAUGCUAAUACCGCAUACGUCCUACGGGAGAAAGCAGGGGACCUUCGGGCCUUGCGCUAAUAGAUGAGCCUAAGUCGGAUUAGCUAGUUGGUGGGGUAAAGGCCUACCAAGGCGACGAUCUGUAGCGGGUCUGAGAGGAUGAUCCGCCACACUGGGACUGAGACACGGCCCAGACUCCUACGGGAGGCAGCAGUGGGGAAUAUUGGACAAAGGGGGGAACCCUGAUCCAGCCAUGCCGCGUGUGUGAAGAAGGCCUUUUGGUUGUAAAGCACUUUAAGCGAGGAGGAGGCUACCGAGAUUAAUACUCUUGGAUAGUGGACGUUACUGCAGAAUAAGCACCGGCUAACUCUGUGCCAGCAGCCGCGGUAAUACAGAGGGUGCAAGCGUUAAUCGGAUUUACUGGGCGUAAAGCGCGCGUAGGUGGCCAAUUAAGUCAAAUGUGAAAUCCCCGAGCUUAACUUGGGAAUUGCAUUCGAUACUGGUUGGCUAGAGUAUGGGAGAGGAUGGUGGAAUUCCAGGUGUAGCGGUGAAAUGCGUAGAGAUCUGGAGGAAUACCGAUGGCGAAGGCAGCCAUCUGGCCUAAUACUGACACUGAGGUGCGAAAGCAUGGGGAGCAAACAGGAUUAGAUACCCUGGUAGUCCAUGCCGUAAACGAUGUCUACUAGCCGUUGGG
Molecule: ribosomal RNA, 824 nt
Filed under: Prolinoborus fasciculus
Lineage: Bacteria; Pseudomonadati; Pseudomonadota; Betaproteobacteria; Neisseriales; Neisseriaceae
Description: bacterial SSU rRNA
Rfam family: Bacterial small subunit ribosomal RNA
Source: RNAcentral